RNAcentral lists this ribosomal RNA (429 nucleotides) under Bacteroidota bacterium. RNAcentral's name for it is "Bacteroidetes bacterium partial 16S ribosomal RNA". It matches the Rfam family "Bacterial small subunit ribosomal RNA", at positions 355 to 776 of the family's 1533-position model. The record is from RNAcentral. Lineage: Bacteria; Pseudomonadati; Bacteroidota.
UAGGGAAUCUUCGGCAAUGGGGGGAACCCUGACCGAGCAACGCCGCGUGAGUGAAGAAGGUUUUCGGAUCGUAAAGCUCUGUUGUUAAGGAAGAACGAGUGUGAGAAUGGAAAGUUCAUACUGUGACGGUACUUAACCAGAAAGGGACGGCUAACUACGUGCCAGCAGCCGCGGUAAUACGUAGGUCCCGAGCGUUGUCCGGAUUUAUUGGGCGUAAAGCGAGCGCAGGCGGUUAGAUAAGUCUGAAGUUAAAGGCAGUGGCUCAACCAUUGUAGGCUUUGGAAACUGUUUAACUUGAGUGCAGAAGGGGAGAGUGGAAUUCCAUGUGUAGCGGUGAAAUGCGUAGAUAUAUGGAGGAACACCGGUGGCGAAAGCGGCACUCUGGUCUGUAACUGACGCUGAGGCUCGAAAGCGUGGGGAGCGAACAGG